This 65-nucleotide transfer RNA is filed under the name Hylurgus micklitzi. RNAcentral describes it as "tRNA-Gly". Lineage: Eukaryota; Metazoa; Arthropoda; Insecta; Coleoptera; Curculionidae. The record is from RNAcentral.
AUUUAUAUAAUAUAUACAUAUUAUAUCUAACUUCCAAUUAGAAAAUCUAGGCUCUAGUAUAAAUA